Molecule: ribosomal RNA, 253 nt
Filed under: uncultured bacterium
Lineage: Bacteria
Description: partial 16S ribosomal RNA
Rfam family: Bacterial small subunit ribosomal RNA
Source: RNAcentral
UACGGAGGGUGCAAGCGUUAAUCGGAAUUACUGGGCGUAAAGCGUGCGCAGGCGGUUUGUUAAGUCUGUUGUGAAAUCCCCGAGCCCAACUUGGGAAUUGCAAUGGAUACUGGCAGGCUCGAGUAUGGUAGAGGAAGGUGGAAUUCCCGGUGUAGCAGUGAAAUGCGUAGAGAUCGGGAGGAACACCAGUGGCGAAGGCGGCCUUCUGGACCAAUACUGACGCUCAUGCACGAAAGCGUGGGGAGCAAACAGG